GAUGAAGAACGUAGCGAAAUGCGAUACUUGGUGUGAAUUGCAGAAUCCCGUGAACCAUCGAGUCUUUGAACGCAAGUUGCGCCCGAAGCCACUAGGCCGAGGGCACGCCUGCCUGGGCGUCACACGCCGUUGCCCCCCCAUCUACUCCUUCGGGAUUGCGGGGGGGCGGAUGAUGGCCUCCUGUGCGCCUAGCCGCGCGGUUGGCAUAAAUACCAAGUCCUCGGCGACGCACGCCACGACAAUCGGUGGUUGCGAAACCUCGGUUGCCCGUCGUGUGCGUUCGUCGCGCAUCGAGGGCUCGAAAAAAUGCUCGGCUCCGGCUGGGCUUUCAACGCGACCCCAGGUCAGGCGGGGUUACCCGCUGAAUUUAAGCAUAUCAUAGCGGAGGA
RNAcentral lists this unclassified non-coding RNA (389 nucleotides) under soil metagenome. RNAcentral describes it as "partial contains 5.8S ribosomal RNA, internal transcribed spacer 2, and large subunit ribosomal RNA". The stretch from base 1 to 122 matches the Rfam family "5.8S ribosomal RNA", at positions 35 to 154 of the family's 154-position model. The record is from RNAcentral.